UCCAUUUAAAAAACAAAGCAAACCCUAAACGCUCCUGUGUUCGACAUUCGACAGAGACAAAACCUUCCUUCUCCAAAUCUCCACCGCCAGUCCGCCACAGCCCACAAACGGCCGGCCAAGUUCCAUACUUCCUCAGUUCCUCUUCGUCGCUCACAGACAUUCGACAUUCGUCGCUCAAUUCCAUACAUCUGACUGUUCUUCCUCUUCUUCGCUACGCCUACUGCUACUCGCUUCCUCUUCCUCUUCUCUUCAAUUCCAUACUUCGACUAUGAACUAAUGAAUUUCACAACACAGGGAUAGUAAGAAUGACAGCUUUUAAUGACGUCUUUGAGAAGCAUGUUCCUUCAAUCUAGCCAACAUCAAAAAAUUCUGAUUCAUCCUUCUAUAAAUCAUCUAAAAGGUAGGUCUAGAGGAAUUGCCGGAAUUAUUGUCAGAUAUUCACUUGAUACAAUAAGAAUCUGACAAAAAAAUUCAAAUACGGGUGGUUCUGCAAUGAGUAUUUUAUGUCGAGUUAUAGCAACGAAAAGGGGUAGGAAUCGGGUUCUCGAGUGGUGAAACACCAGUUUCAAUAAGUGAGAGGCCAGAGUCUGUGGUGUUCUAUGCCUCAAGGUGGUAAUGAUCUCAAGCGCAUUCGCUUUAGGUAUAAUUUCUACUUGUAUUUUCUUUUCUUGGUUUUGGAUUUUUUUGUUAUUUUUGUGCUUUUUGUUUUAUUUUGAUCAGCAUUUGUUUGGUUAUUUUAUGGUUGUUAGCUAAACUAUUCGGUAGAGUCCAUUUAUUGGCUAAUACUAUGUGCUAAACUGUACUUUUCUCUAAUAUACAAGUUCAUGGGAUUUAACCUGUUACUUUGUAGUUGGACAAGUCAUCAGAAAUCCAGUGGUUCUGGAUCACGCAAAUACAAAUUUCAACUAUUAAGAUGUCAUUUCAUUUGUGGAAUAUUGAAUUGAUGGAUUUUAGAGUCUAAUUUGUAAAUAUGUAAAGGGUAAUUACUUGCUAGAUGUAAAAUCAGUGACUCUUCAAGAUAAAAUGAUUAUGAUUAUAUCAAUUGAAGGUUGAUGAA
Molecule: long non-coding RNA, 1057 nt
Organism: Amaranthus tricolor (Joseph's coat)
Lineage: Eukaryota; Viridiplantae; Streptophyta; Magnoliopsida; Caryophyllales; Amaranthaceae
Exons: 2
Source: RefSeq, a predicted model, not a curated record